RNAcentral lists this ribosomal RNA (431 nucleotides) under uncultured bacterium. RNAcentral's name for it is "partial 16S ribosomal RNA". It matches the Rfam family "Bacterial small subunit ribosomal RNA", at positions 29 to 507 of the family's 1533-position model. The record is from RNAcentral.
AACGAACGCUGGCGGCAGGCUUAACACAUGCAAGUCGAACGCCCCGCAAGGGGAGUGGCAGACGGGUGAGUAACGCGUGGGAACAUACCCUUUUCUACGGAAUAGCUCUGGGAAACUGGAAUUAAUACCGUAUACGCCCUACGGGGGAAAGAUUUAUCGGGGAAGGAUUGGCCCGCGUUGGAUUAGCUAGUUGGUGGGGUAAAGGCCUACCAAGGCGACGAUCCAUAGCUGGUCUGAGAGGAUGAUCAGCCACAUUGGGACUGAGACACGGCCCAAACUCCUACGGGAGGCAGCAGUGGGGAGUAUUGGACAAUGGGCGCAAGCCUGAUCCAGCCAUGCCGCGUGAGUGAUGAAGGCCUUAGGGUUGUAAAGCUCUUUCACCGAUGAAGAUAAUGACGGUAGUCGGAGAAGAAGCCCCGGCUAACUUCGUG